This 343-nucleotide unclassified non-coding RNA is filed under the name soil metagenome. Its description in RNAcentral is "partial contains 5.8S ribosomal RNA, internal transcribed spacer 2, and large subunit ribosomal RNA". The stretch from base 1 to 120 matches the Rfam family "5.8S ribosomal RNA", at positions 35 to 154 of the family's 154-position model. The record is from RNAcentral.
GAUGAAGAACAUAGCGAAAUGCGAUAAGUAAUGUGAAUUGCAGAAUUCAGUGAAUCAUCGAAUCUUUGAACGCACAUUGCGCCCCUUGGUAUUCCGAGGGGCAUGCCUGUUCGAGCGUCAUUACACCACUCAAGCACUGCUUGGUAUUGGGCAUCGUCCGUCGAAAGGCGGGCGUGCCUCGAAGACCUCGGCGGGGUUUCUCCAACUUCGGGCGUAGUAGAGUUAAAUCGAACGUCUUAUAAGCUUGGUGGGACUCCAUUGCCGUUAAACCUUUUAUUUUCUAGGUUGACCUCGGAUCAGGUAGGGAUACCCGCUGAACUUAAGCAUAUCAAUAAGCGGAGGA